CAGGAAGAUAUCAGACUUUUCAUGAAGCCCGGCAGGCAGAUGUGUUGCUGACCUACACCUAACCCUAACCGACCUCUGACCCCGGGAUGGAGAAAGACCAAAAGCAGCACGACAGAAGGCAGUUAAUGAAAGAGUGGAGGCCACGCAGGUGACUUCCAUGUGCAGACAAGAAGUGAGACAAGAAGGUUCCUGGUCCUACCUUGUGGCUCCGGAAGGGCGGCUCAGGGUAGGAGAGCUGCCCGAGUCUGGUGUGCUCUGAGGCGGCCAGAGGCUGCGGAGGAGGCGGGUGGAAGUCUUUGACACAUCCGCCAGCCUCUCCGGGACUAAUGUGGAGGUGAAGCCGAGAAAUUAAGGCGGAAAUCGGGCUUAGAAAGUUGUAAAGAUGCGCCCCACGCUGGUUCUCAUGCUCCGAACAAGGUGGCGUCCACUCGCUACAAAGACGGACUCGCCCGAAUGAAAAGUGUGACUUGAAAAGUUCCCCUUUGUUGUAGCGGAAGAGAAGCGGCUUUGAGGCUACUGCACUGCGGCGUGAGGGUGCUGGUUGUCGGCGUGCUGCUGCUGGAAGUCCCGCUCGAACAUCCAACAUCCGAGCUCGAACAUCCAACAUCCACACUCCCAGUCCCACAAAGAGCCCGCUCGUCAAGCGCACCGCUCUCAGUCUUCACGGAUGCGGAAAUUGCAUGGGUUAACAAAAUAAGAGCAUCAAUGUCCAUUUUUUUUUCCAGUUUAACCGGGGAUUUUGAGAAGCUCACCAAAUAAAUAUGUUCUUAAACUCUCA
Molecule: long non-coding RNA, 778 nt
Organism: Nerophis ophidion (straightnose pipefish)
Lineage: Eukaryota; Metazoa; Chordata; Actinopteri; Syngnathiformes; Syngnathidae
Exons: 3
Source: RefSeq, a predicted model, not a curated record